GUGGCAGUCCUUCGGUAGCCUGCUGGGGGCCUUUCCAACAUAUCAAUAGGAUACCAGUAUCGGACCAGCACGCCUUCACUUCGGAGUUACCUACUUUCUGACAACCAGAAUCAGAAGUUUUCAUCAGAAGGCAGUGGAAGAGUAACAGCAUUACUGAUAGAAUUUUCUACUUGAAAGUUCACCUUAGUAAACCAUCAGCCAAUAGCCUCUCUUAAAAAGAUGGGGAAAUCGAGGCUUCGAGAACCAGUAAGAUGAUGUGAUCAAAGUCACAAAACAAUUUCUUUGUGUCUCUGUAACAAUCGUGACAAUGACAGAUCCUUCACUCCUUGAGGACAACAGGAGAAUAUUUCCCUGGGAACCUGAGUACAUAUAAUGUAAGGGCAAGUCUGAACAUGGCUGAUGGAAAAUAAUGACAGCAGCAGCAUGGUCUGGAGGAGGUGACGGCAUCGAGAGUUAGCUUAUAUUCUACCCCCAGCCCUCAUCUAGACCCAUCAGAAAAACUCAGGCAAGUCAUCUGGCAUGACAGCAUUCAGAGUAAAUGACCUAUACAAUCACUUUUUAAGGUACUUGGUGUCUGGGCAUCAAAGUCUCAGUGUGUAUUAAAA
Molecule: long non-coding RNA, 605 nt
Organism: Sus scrofa (pig)
Lineage: Eukaryota; Metazoa; Chordata; Mammalia; Artiodactyla; Suidae
Source: RefSeq, a predicted model, not a curated record